Molecule: long non-coding RNA, 635 nt
Organism: Mangifera indica (mango)
Lineage: Eukaryota; Viridiplantae; Streptophyta; Magnoliopsida; Sapindales; Anacardiaceae
Exons: 2
Source: RefSeq, a predicted model, not a curated record
AUUAACUCAACUCGCCAAAACCCCAACAAACUCAAGUUUUCCGGAUUUGGUAAAGCUGAAAGUCACACAAGUUUCUUUAUUUGUGAGAAUAGGCCAUUCCCGGCACCGGUCGUAAUCAGGCAAAUCAACCCAGCCCCACCUCGCCACGUAUGCGGACGUGAUGCAGUGAAAUUCUGUCACGUUACCUUGCGUGGUACACUAGCUCAAGGAGGCCGUGAAUCUGUUCAUGGAGGUGAUAAUUGUUCUCUCUUCUAUAUCAGCUAGAGCUUUCUGGUAUUUGAUAAUAUUUCUCCAUAUACAUGGAAUGGAGGCAGUGGAGAGUGGCAGAAAGCAAGAUGAAGAGAGAAUGAUGGAGAUAAGAGAAGAGCUUGAGGCUUUGGCAAAUGAACUCCUAUCUCCAUAGCCAAGACAUGUGGCUUCUGCACCUUUCUAGUGUUUCCGUAUAACAUACUUCCUCUACAUAAAUACAAGAUGGGAUUUUGCCUAGCCAUCAUUUUCAAAAUUCAUUUACUUGUUUGCUCAAUUUUCUCUUUUGUCUUUUCUUUUCACUAAUUUUGCAAAUGAAUAAACUCCCCCAACUACUAAUCCUAUGUAUUGGCUUUUAAAAUGAGAAAAUGAACAAUACAUUGGCGAUA